UGCCCAAUGCGGGAAUCGAACCCGGGUCCUAGUGGUCGAAAACCAAACGGUUUACCCAGCCUUCCACCGACCCCAACCUUCAGAUAUGAAGGC
Cordylochernes scorpioides is the source of this 93-nucleotide non-coding RNA. The record is from the annotation of a GenBank genome assembly. Lineage: Eukaryota; Metazoa; Arthropoda; Arachnida; Pseudoscorpiones; Chernetidae.